AUACGUAGGGGACGAGCGUUGUCCGGAAUUACUGGGCGUAAAGGGCGCGCAGGCGGAUAUUUAAGUCAGCUGUAAAAGGCAUGAGCUCAACUCAUGUAUGCGGUUGAAACUGGGUAUCUAGAGUGCUGGAGAGGUAGGCGGAAUUCCCGGUGUAGCGGUGAAAUGCGUAGAGAUCGGGAGGAACACCAGUGGCGAAGGCGGGUAAUUGGACUGCAACUGACGCUGAGGCGCGAAAGUGUGGGGAGCAAACAGGAUUAGAUACCCUGGUAGUCCACACUGUAAACGAUGAAUGCUAGGUGUAAGAGGUAUCGCCCCCUUUUGUGCCGGAGUUAACACAAUAAGCAUUCCGCCUGGGGAGUACGGCCGCAAGGUUGAAACUCAAAGGAAUUGGCGGGG
RNAcentral lists this ribosomal RNA (396 nucleotides) under uncultured bacterium. Its description in RNAcentral is "partial 16S ribosomal RNA". It matches the Rfam family "Bacterial small subunit ribosomal RNA", at positions 523 to 918 of the family's 1533-position model. The record is from RNAcentral.